AUUAAAAACCAAUGCCCUUCGGGGCUCUCUGGUGAUUCAUAAUAACUUCUCGAAUCGCACGGCCUUGCGCCGGCGAUGGUUCAUUCAAAUUUCUGCCCUAUCAACUUUCGACGGCUGGGUCUUGGCCAGCCGUGGUGACAACGGGUAACGGAGGGUUAGGGCUCGACCCCGGAGAAGGAGCCUGAGAAACGGCUACUACAUCCAAGGAAGGCAGCAGGCGCGCAAAUUACCCAAUCCCGACACGGGGAGGUAGUGACAAUAAAUACUGAUACAGGGCUCUUUCGGGUCUUGUAAUUGGAAUGAGUACAAUUUAAAUCCCUUAACGAGGAACAAUUGGAGGGCAAGUCUGGUGCCAGCAGCCGCGGUAAUUCCAGCUCCAAUAGCGUAUAUUAAAGUUGUUGAGGUUAAAAAGCUCGUAGUUGAACCUUAGGCCUAGCCGGCCGGUCCGCCUCACCGCGUGCACUGGCUCGGCUGGGUCUUUCCUUCUGGAGACCGCAUGCCCUUCACUGGGUGUGCC
RNAcentral lists this ribosomal RNA (517 nucleotides) under uncultured fungus. Its description in RNAcentral is "SSU rRNA". It matches the Rfam family "Eukaryotic small subunit ribosomal RNA", at positions 214 to 731 of the family's 1831-position model. Lineage: Eukaryota; Fungi. The record is from RNAcentral.